RNAcentral lists this transfer RNA (74 nucleotides) under Triticum urartu. It matches the Rfam family "tRNA". Rfam says of the family: Transfer RNA (tRNA) molecules are approximately 80 nucleotides in length. The record is from Rfam by way of RNAcentral. Lineage: Eukaryota; Viridiplantae; Streptophyta; Magnoliopsida; Poales; Poaceae.
AGCGGGGUAGAGGAAUUGGUGAACUCAUCAGGCUCAUGACCUGAAGACUGCAGGUUCGAAUCCUGUCCCCGCCU